UUUCUAUGGUUUUUAAGUUUAGUUGAAUUAACUGAGCCCAGGCAAUUCAGGAAAAUAAAAUCUCCUGUUUUCAUGGUGAUGAAAGGAUACAGAUGAUGGGGUCUAGAAACCAGACUUCUGCUCUUGAGUUAAUUAUAUUAAUGAAUGGGGGGACUGAAGAGGAGAAGGCACAUAGACAUGAGAGUGAUCGAUGUUGGGUCAAGCUUUCUCUUUGGAAGAUGGUUGGAAAGAACACAGCAAGGAUAUGGCAUUUGAGCACAU
Molecule: long non-coding RNA, 261 nt
Organism: Artibeus jamaicensis (Jamaican fruit-eating bat)
Lineage: Eukaryota; Metazoa; Chordata; Mammalia; Chiroptera; Phyllostomidae
Exons: 3
Source: RefSeq, a predicted model, not a curated record